AAACAAGCCCAUAUAAUAACACGAACGAACCCAUAAGUACGUUACAACUGUGAACACAUGCACUAUUUAAAAGACAAAUCCACAGCAGAAUUAAUCAGUAGCGAAAUGGAUUCGACAGAUAGCAGUGCGAACACAAAAUCUAAAGAAAUUGAACUGUGUUACGAUGACUAUCCCAAGAAGAGAAAGCGUCCUUCCCAAGUAGCGGUGGUUAUUCCCACCAUGGAAGAAUCCAAGGCCGCCGCGUCCUCCUCCUCCUCCUCCGCAACGCACGGUUCCAUAUCCGUGAUCGGGCGGCGACGCGCAAUGGAGGACGCCGUCAUGGUGUUUCCCGGCUUGGUGGCGGCGGGGCAGUGGUGUGGCGGUUAUGAUUUCUUCGCGGUUUACGACGGACACGGCGGGACGUUGGUGGCGAACGCUUGCCGCGACAGGCUACACCUGCUGUUGGCGGAUGAAGUGAGGGAGAACGCGAAGGAGGGAUUGGAUUGGUACGAGGUUAUGUGUUCGUGUUUCAUGAAGAUGGACAAGGAGAUCGGAGUUGGUGGUAAGGCGAACGAUGAUGGUGGCGGAAACACCACAGGUUCAACGGCGGCGGUGGUUGUCGUUGGGAAGAAGGAGAUUGUGGUGGCGAAUUGCGGUGACUCGAGGUCGGUGUUGUGCCGUGGCGGUGUAGCCAUAGCACUUUCGCGUGAUCAUAAGCCUGAUCGUUCAGAUGAAAGAGAGAGAAUAGAAGCUGCUGGUGGAAGAGUGAUUAACUGGAACGGAAGUCGUGUUUUGGGAGUUCUUGCAACUUCCAGAUCCAUAGGGGAUCAUUCGAUGAAACCUUUUGUGAUAUCUGAGCCAGAGACGAUGGUGUACGAGCGAACAGAGUGUGAUGAGUUUGUGGUGGUAGCAAGCGAUGGGUUAUGGGAUGUGGUGUCUAACAAGUUUGUUUGUGAGGUUGUACGAAGCUGCCUCCAUGGCCAAAUCAAGAGGAAUUUAAAAGAGGAGACUGUUGUAAGCAAUGCAACAGAAGCUGCAUCUUUGUUGGCAGAGUUGGCCAUGGCUCGUGGAAGCAAAGACAAUAUCAGUGUCAUAGUCAUCCAACUCAACAACACCAUUUCAUCCUGAACUCCAUAUUUCCAGCUCCUUGAACCAUAGGAAUUCGAUUUUGGUGCUGCCCAAGCGUCUGCGGAGUAGAGGGUUUUAUUUUUACCGAACGUCCUCUUCAUUCCGAUCGGGGCAGGUUGAGUUCUUGUGUUGUCAAGGGUACUGCUAGGGCAGUUUCAGUAGUUGUGCUUGGAGAAACCCAGGUAAGGGGAGCUAGAAAUAUUUUUCAUUGCUUGUAUGAGACAUAUGUAGGCUAUACUCUGACUUGGUAUGCUGUUUAGAGUGAUAUUUCACUUGUCUAGGUAUGAUGCUGUUAAAAUAUUUACCCUAUUUAUCAUGAUUAUAUUGUGUCUAGGAUUACCUUAUUUAUUAUGAUUAUAUUGUGUCUAAGGUUACCCUAUUUAUCAUGAUUACAUUGUGUUUAAAGUUACCUUAUUUAUCAUGAUUAUAUUGUGUCUAAAGUUACCUUAUUUAUCAUGAUUAUAUUGUGUCUAAUAAGGUUACCCUAAUUAUCAUGUAUUCUUGUAUCAAUUUAAUUUUAUAAAUAGAAGAUUAUGAGAGGAUCAAUUAAGUCCUCAAGAAUUAUUUCUUUUCAAUCUCAAGUUGGUUGUCUGAGUCUCUUCCUACUCUGUCUUGGUUGCCGCUGCCACCGGCAGCCUUAAAAAUUUCAUAUUUUCUUAAAUACCUCAGUGAGCAGUCAUGUUCUGGUUUCUAUCUAGUUUCCAAACCCUAGUUGCUGUCUGCAAUCGUCUGGCAUUGUUUGCCGUUGUCUGGUGUAGUUUGUCGUUGCCUAGCGUCGUUUGUCGUUGUCCACAUAAGUUUAUCACCAUCAACCUCUGUUUACUGUCAUUCCGACAUCGUCCGCUAAUGCCCGCCACCGACCACUGCCACAGUUUAGUCCGACGACCAAUGGAUCUCGAUCGCAUUCUUGAGCCAUGGUCAACCAUGCCUGUGUGGAGGGCUAGUUCUCAUCCAAGCACUGCCACAUGUGCCACAUCUGUUCAACCUUCGUCGCCGCUGUCGUCUUGUUUUCUCUGGCGAAGUUAGGGGUUUUGUGUGCAUCGAGGAGCGCGACCCAUCCCUGGUUGUCACUGCCAUUCGUCUCGCUAGACCAAAAGAAAAAAAUUCCUUAGCCUCUUUAACGUGUGUUUAGCUUUGCAUAUUGUAAUGUUCCUAAUGGCUUGUGUCAUUUAUUUACAAGUCUCCAAGGAGAUUCAGUGCUAUUAGCGGGAUAACACCAAGGAAUUUCAACACCAAAGUCAUAAAUUUGAGGUUCUCAUGGCAUGAGGGGAGUCUAUUUCUGGCAAGAUUCAGAAUCUUAGUCAAACAAUUUCACCAGUUUCUUGUCAGAUCUGUUUCUGGAUCCUUUGAUGAAUAAAGGAGACCAUUAUGAUCUUCCACCUUCAUGAUUUGUCAUCGGCGCAUCGUCAUUUCCGUCGUUUUACCAUGUUUGAUUGACUUUUGCAUGUCGUGUGAGGUUGAAUAACAUGCUUUUUAUAUCUAGCUCACCCUUGUUUGUGUUACUUGUGUAUGUUUCUUUUGUGAUGAUCAUCCACUUGGGUGGGAGCAGAUGGCGAAGAGAUACUUUGGAAACAACUCUUGACGAAGACGGCAGUACUGCAGCUUAGAUUUGCUAGCUUUUAUUCCAUGAACUCAUAUUAUUUUGAAGAAUUUUAGUGCAUUUAAAGUUUUAAAUUCUCUGUAAUUUUCAGGAGAAACUCUAAUACUCUAAUUUUCAAUUUCACACUAUUUUAUGGAUGACUGUAAUCUUAA
Vigna angularis (adzuki bean) is the source of this 2859-nucleotide RNA transcript. It is a transcript of the gene named probable protein phosphatase 2C 8, with no coding region annotated. NCBI's taxonomy places the organism in Eukaryota, Viridiplantae, Streptophyta, Magnoliopsida, Fabales, Fabaceae. The transcript is spliced from 5 exons. The record is from RefSeq and is a predicted model, not a curated record.